RNAcentral lists this ribosomal RNA (253 nucleotides) under uncultured bacterium. RNAcentral describes it as "partial 16S ribosomal RNA". It matches the Rfam family "Bacterial small subunit ribosomal RNA", at positions 524 to 776 of the family's 1533-position model. The record is from RNAcentral.
UACGUAGGGUGCGAGCGUUAAUCGGAAUUACUGGGCGUAAAGCGUGCGCAGGCGGUUCGUUAAGUCAGAUGUGAAAGCCCCGGGCUCAACCUGGGAACUGCAUUGGAAACUAACGGGCUCGAGUGUGGCAGAGGGGGGUGGAAUUCCACGUGUAGCAGUGAAAUGCGUAGAGAUGUGGAGGAACACCGAUGGCGAAGGCAGCCCCCUGGGCUAACACUGACGCUCAGGCACGAAAGCGUGGGGAGCAAACAGG